This 254-nucleotide ribosomal RNA is filed under the name uncultured bacterium. Its description in RNAcentral is "partial 16S ribosomal RNA". It matches the Rfam family "Bacterial small subunit ribosomal RNA", at positions 524 to 776 of the family's 1533-position model. The record is from RNAcentral.
UACGAGGGGGGCAAGCGUUGUUCGGAAUUAUUGGGCGUAAAGAGCUCGUAGGCGGUUUGUUGCGUCGGCUGUGAAAUCCCGAGGCUCAACCUCGGGUCUGCAGUCGAUACGAGCAAACUAGAGUGUUGCAGGGGAGACUGGAAUUCCUGGUGUAGCGGUGAAAUGCGCAGAUAUCAGGAGGAACACCGGUGGCGAAGGCGGGUCUCUGGGCAACAACUGACGCUGAGGAGCGAAAGCGUGGGGGAGCGAACAGG